AACGAACGUUAGCGGCGCGCUUAACACAUGCAAGUCGAGCGAGAAGGGGGCAACCCCAGUAAAGCGGCGCACGGGUGAGUAACACGUAGGUAAUUUACCUCGAGGUGGUGGAUAACCUUCCGAAAGGAGGGCUAAUACAGCAUGAGACCACGUCUUCGAAAGAGGAUGAGGUUAAAGCGGGCCUCUAUACAUAAGCUCGCGCCACGAGAUGAGCCUGCGGCCCAUCAUGGUAGUUGGUAGGGUAAUGGCCUACCAAGCCGAAGACGGGUAGCUGGUCUGAGAGGAUGAUCAGCCACACUGGAACUGAGACACGGUCCAGACUCCUACGGGAGGCAGCAGUGGGGGAAUCUUGCGCAAUGGGCGAAAGCCUGACGCAGCGACGCCGCGUGAGUGAUGAAGGCCCUCGGGUUGUAAAGCUCUGUGGAGGGGGACGAAUAAGGGUUGGUGAAUAUCCAGCUCGAUGACGGUACCCCUUUAGCAAGCACCGGCUAACU
This 494-nucleotide ribosomal RNA is filed under the name uncultured bacterium. RNAcentral's name for it is "bacterial SSU rRNA". It matches the Rfam family "Bacterial small subunit ribosomal RNA", at positions 29 to 502 of the family's 1533-position model. The record is from RNAcentral.